This 539-nucleotide ribosomal RNA is filed under the name uncultured bacterium. RNAcentral describes it as "bacterial SSU rRNA". It matches the Rfam family "Bacterial small subunit ribosomal RNA", at positions 356 to 896 of the family's 1533-position model. The record is from RNAcentral.
GAGGAAUAUUGGUCAAUGGACGAGAGUCUGAACCAGCCAAGUAGCGUGCAGGAUGACGGCCCUAUGGGUUGUAAACUGCUUUUGUAUGGGGAUAAAGUCAGUCACGUGUGAUUGUUUGCAGGUACCAUACGAAUAAGGACCGGCUAAUUCCGUGCCAGCAGCCGCGGUAAUACGGAAGGUCCGGGCGUUAUCCGGAUUUAUUGGGUUUAAAGGGAGCGUAGGCUGGAGAUUAAGUGUGUUGUGAAAUGUAGACGCUCAACGUCUGACUUGCAGCGCAUACUGGUUUCCUUGAGUACGCACAACGUAUGCGGAAUUCAUGGUGUAGCGGUGAAAUGCUUAGAUAUCAUGAAGAACUCCGAUUGCGAAGGCAGCAUACGGGAGUGUAACUGACGCUUAAGCUCGAAGGUGCGGGUAUCGAACAGGAUUAGAUACCCUGGUAGUCCGCACAGUAAACGAUGGAUGCCCGCUGUUAGCGCCUGGCGUUAGCGGCUAAGCGAAAGCAUUAAGCAUCCCACCUGGGGAGUACGCCGGCAACGGUG